GCGUGCGUCGUGAGGCCUUGGCUCAGGGAUAUCCGGCGUGAGAAGCCGUGGGUGUGCCAGCCGGGAGCUAACGGCUCGCAGAU
Molecule: microRNA precursor, 83 nt
Filed under: Eptesicus fuscus (big brown bat)
Lineage: Eukaryota; Metazoa; Chordata; Mammalia; Chiroptera; Vespertilionidae
Description: microRNA efu-mir-9267 precursor
Source: miRBase by way of RNAcentral